This 85-nucleotide non-coding RNA is filed under the name Propionispora vibrioides. RNAcentral's name for it is "c-di-GMP-I riboswitch aptamer". It matches the Rfam family "c-di-GMP-I riboswitch aptamer". From Rfam's summary of the family: GEMM was predicted in a large-scale screen for bacterial structured RNA regulatory elements. Genes associated with GEMM are involved in a diverse array of functions, including chemotaxis regulation, signal transduction, secretion and chitin. The record is from Rfam by way of RNAcentral. Lineage: Bacteria; Bacillati; Bacillota; Negativicutes; Selenomonadales; Sporomusaceae.
AGCGGAAUCGGGCAAACCUGUCGAAAGACAGGGACGCAAAGCUAAGGGUCUAAAACAUUUUUGUUAUGGCAGCCGGGUUGCAAAG